This 212-nucleotide ribosomal RNA is filed under the name Stutzerimonas balearica. Its description in RNAcentral is "partial 16S ribosomal RNA". It matches the Rfam family "Bacterial small subunit ribosomal RNA", at positions 571 to 782 of the family's 1533-position model. Lineage: Bacteria; Pseudomonadati; Pseudomonadota; Gammaproteobacteria; Pseudomonadales; Pseudomonadaceae. The record is from RNAcentral.
GUAGGUGGUUUGAUAAGUUGGAUGUGAAAGCCCCGGGCUCAACCUGGGAAUUGCAUCCAAAACUGUCUGACUAGAGUAUGGCAGAGGGUGGUGGAAUUUCCUGUGUAGCGGUGAAAUGCGUAGAUAUAGGAAGGAACACCAGUGGCGAAGGCGACCACCUGGGCUAAUACUGACACUGAGGUGCGAAAGCGUGGGGAGCAAACAGGAUUAGA